This 265-nucleotide ribosomal RNA is filed under the name uncultured bacterium. RNAcentral's name for it is "partial 16S ribosomal RNA". It matches the Rfam family "Bacterial small subunit ribosomal RNA", at positions 87 to 354 of the family's 1533-position model. The record is from RNAcentral.
CCGGGCAACCGGCGCACGGGUGAGUAACACGUAUGCAACCUGCCCGUCUCAGGGGGAUAAUCGUCGGAAACGGCGUCUAAUACCCCGUAUGAAGCUGGACGGCAUCGUCUGGUUUUGAAAGAAUAUCGGAGACGGAUGGGCAUGCGGCGCAUUAGCUAGUUGGCGGGGUAACGGCCCACCAAGGCGACGAUGCGUAGGGGUUCUGAGAGGAAGGUCCCCCACACUGGUACUGAGACACGGACCAGACUCCUACGGGAGGCAGCAG